UUUUGGGAAAAGUUGAAAGUGUUGUUCUUGACCAGAAAUCGUUGGCACAGGCACAUCGCUAUGUCUUACUUCAUAGUGAUAUAAUAUCCGAGUCUCGCAGAGAAUUUUUAAUAGCUCAGCGAAGUCUCAACCAUAACAUUCGUCCUACACCAAGGAUUGAGCAAUGAUGGUUGGUUGAAUUAUUUCCAGAAUGGCUUUUCAAACAGGUACCAGUGAUGAUGGAGAGGAAUUGUUCUGAGGAGUUAAUAGUCAUUGCUCGAGGUCCGAAUAAUAUUGUCAACAGAUAUGAUGGGUUCAUUAUAAAUGGUUUUAAAUUUCAUACUAAAGAGC
This is a non-coding RNA of Phoenix dactylifera (date palm), 330 nucleotides long. The record is from RefSeq and is a predicted model, not a curated record. NCBI's taxonomy places the organism in Eukaryota, Viridiplantae, Streptophyta, Magnoliopsida, Arecales, Arecaceae.